GUUUUUUUCUGGCUUAUCUUGAUAACAAGGAAAAAAAGCCAAUAAUAUACUCUGUUCAGAAUCGUUUUUCGUUGGAAAUAUUUUUUUGUUGCGUACAAAAUUAAAUUAAAUUAAAUUACUCCAUUUUCCUGUCUUCCAACCACCCUUCUGUUACAGUGGUACACCCAUCAGUAGUAACAGCCUUCUUCAAUUUUAUUUCCUACUGAAUUUUUAUUGGUUUAUACAAAUCCUUAUAGAACGGGCCGAUCAAAACACAAUUGCGGAGCAUUUUACUUAUUCAUACACUUGCGUUACAUUUACGUAAACAAAUGGCACACACCAAUUUGUUUGUAUGUGUAUAAGUUUCAUAUUUCAAUGUAAGUGUUGCGAAAUGCAAAUGCGGGCAGGAUGAUGAAUGCAAUAGACAAUUUCGCACCGAAUUGAAAUCUUUGCGUAAAUAUUG
Molecule: non-coding RNA, 442 nt
Organism: Cinara cedri
Lineage: Eukaryota; Metazoa; Arthropoda; Insecta; Hemiptera; Aphididae
Source: the annotation of a GenBank genome assembly